UCGAGGAUCUUCGGCAAUGGGCGCAAGCCUGACCGAGCGACGCCGCGUGCGCGAUGAAGGCCUUCGGGUUGUAAAGCGCUGUCGAGGGGGAGAAAGGCCCGCAAGGGCUUGAUCGACCCCUGGAGGAAGCACGGGCUAAGUUCGUGCCAGCAGCCGCGGUAAGACGAACCGUGCGAACGUUGUUCGGAUUCACUGGGCUUAAAGGGCGCGUAGGCGGGCCGUAAAGUCGGGGGUGAAAUCUUUCAGCUCAACUGGAAAAGAGCCUUCGAUACUGACGGCCUCGAGGGAGGUAGGGGCGUGCGGAACUUCCGGUGGAGCGGUGAAAUGCGUAGAGAUCGGAAGGAACGCCGGUGGCGAAAGCGGCGCGCUGGACCUCUUCUGACGCUGAGGCGCGAAAGCCAGGGGAGCAAACGGGAUUAGAUACCCCUGUAGUCC
Molecule: ribosomal RNA, 435 nt
Filed under: uncultured bacterium
Lineage: Bacteria
Description: bacterial SSU rRNA
Rfam family: Bacterial small subunit ribosomal RNA
Source: RNAcentral